RNAcentral lists this ribosomal RNA (467 nucleotides) under uncultured bacterium. RNAcentral's name for it is "partial 16S ribosomal RNA". It matches the Rfam family "Bacterial small subunit ribosomal RNA", at positions 28 to 506 of the family's 1533-position model. The record is from RNAcentral.
GACGAACGCUGGCGGCGUGCUUAACACAUGCAAGUCGAACGGAAAGGCCCUGCUUUUGUGGGGUGCUCGAGUGGCGAACGGGUGAGUAACACGUGAGUAACCUGCCCUUGACUUUGGGAUAACUUCAGGAAACUGGGGCUAAUACCGGAUAGGAGCUCCUGCUGCAUGGUGGGGGUUGGAAAGUUUCGGCGGUUGGGGAUGGACUCGCGGCUUAUCAGCUUGUUGGUGGGGUAGUGGCUUACCAAGGCUUUGACGGGUAGCCGGCCUGAGAGGGUGACCGGCCACAUUGGGACUGAGAGACGGCCCAGACUCCUACGGGAGGCAGCAGUGGGGAAUAUUGCACAAUGGGCGGAAGCCUGAUGCAGCAACGCCGCGUGCGGGAUGACGGCCUUCGGGUUGUAAACCGCUUUCGCCUGUGACGAAGCGUGAGUGACGGUAAUGGGUAAAGAAGCACCGGCUAACUACAU